UACGAAGGGGGCUAGCGUUGUUCGGAAUUACUGGGCGUAAAGCGCACGUAGGCGGAUCCUUAAGUCGGAGGUGAAAUCCCGGAGCUCAACUCCGGAACUGCCUUCGAUACUGGGGAUCUUGAGGUCGAGAGAGGUGAGUGGAAUUCCGAGUGUAGAGGUGAAAUUCGUAGAUAUCCGGAGGAACACCAGUGGCGAAGGCGGCUCACUGGCUCGAUACUGACGCUGAGGUGCGAAAGCGUGGGGAGCAAACAGG
RNAcentral lists this ribosomal RNA (253 nucleotides) under uncultured bacterium. RNAcentral's name for it is "partial 16S ribosomal RNA". It matches the Rfam family "Bacterial small subunit ribosomal RNA", at positions 524 to 776 of the family's 1533-position model. The record is from RNAcentral.